Molecule: non-coding RNA, 159 nt
Filed under: Candidatus Omnitrophota bacterium
Lineage: Bacteria; Pseudomonadati; Candidatus Omnitrophota
Description: 6S RNA
Rfam family: 6S / SsrS RNA
About the family: E. coli 6S RNA was the first non coding RNA to be sequenced, but its function was unknown until recently. It consists of 184 nucleotides that fold into an extended hairpin structure with a large single-stranded internal bulge. The 6S RNA specifically associates with RNA polymerase holoenzyme containing the sigma70 specificity factor.
Source: RNAcentral
UUGUCCCUGCAGUGUGCGUUAGGACUGCGAUGUAUUGAACCACAAAACAAUACAAUGGGGGCUGGUCACCUGCGUUUCGCCUUGGCGGACCCAUACCGGCCACCCACCUUGAGAACGAUGGUUCUCAUUACACCAGUCCGACGGCAUAGCGGGGACAUU